Long non-coding RNA from Hyalella azteca, 344 nucleotides. RefSeq lists it as uncharacterized. The record is from RefSeq and is a predicted model, not a curated record. The transcript is spliced from 3 exons. Lineage: Eukaryota; Metazoa; Arthropoda; Malacostraca; Amphipoda; Hyalellidae.
GAAGGACAAGGCAGCUUAGUUCUCGACGUUACCACAAGACGUCGACGAGCAUGGGUGGCAGCGAUUCGACGUGGGGCCAUCACAUUUGAAACUAAACAGAAAAUCUUCGUUUGCUCAAGACAUUUUCUCUCUGGCCAGCCUGCUUAUGAGAUGUUUACCACCGACCCUGACUGGGCUCCUUCUCUCAAUAUGGGGCAUGAAGAAUUGAAACAAGAUGCAACAAGAUUCAAUCGUUUGAGGGAACGGGAAAACAAGAACAGAGUUCAAGCGAUGGCCAGAGCAAGACAGGAGGCAGAGGAACGAGCAAAAAAGGAGGCAGAGAAGGCGGCUAGAGAGGAGGCGGC